GCACAACCGAAGAGUCCCACACUAGGACGAAACGGCCGUUCAGUGC
This 46-nucleotide non-coding RNA is filed under the name Schistosoma mattheei. Lineage: Eukaryota; Metazoa; Platyhelminthes; Trematoda; Strigeidida; Schistosomatidae. The record is from RNAcentral.